AAGUCGUAACAAGGUUUCCGUAGGUGAACCUGCGGAAGGAUCAUUACAAAUCUGUGGGGGGGGGAAAGCUUUUUCCCCACAUUGGCACGGGGUCUGCGGUCACGCGGGCCCUGAUGUUUACGCUUGCAUGUUUGACGGGUUCAGAGAGAGAAUGGGAACAAACGAUACAACUUUUAACAAUGGAUCUCUUGGCUCUU
RNAcentral lists this unclassified non-coding RNA (197 nucleotides) under Phylloporus sp. RNAcentral describes it as "partial contains small subunit ribosomal RNA, internal transcribed spacer 1, and 5.8S ribosomal RNA". The stretch from base 1 to 46 matches the Rfam family "Eukaryotic small subunit ribosomal RNA", at positions 1786 to 1831 of the family's 1831-position model. The record is from RNAcentral. Lineage: Eukaryota; Fungi; Basidiomycota; Agaricomycetes; Boletales; Boletaceae.